AUUGAACGCUGGCGGCAGGCCUAACACAUGCAAGUCGAGCGGCAGCGCGUCCGACCACCCUCGGGUGGUCGGAUGGCGGCGAGCGGCGGACGGGUGAGGAAUGCAUCGGAAUCUGCCUCGUUGUGGGGGAUAACGUAGGGAAACUUACGCUAAUACCGCAUACGACCUACGGGUGAAAGUGGGGGACCUUCGGGCCUCACGCGAUGAGAUGAGCCGAUGCCGGAUUAGCUAGUUGGCGGGGUAAAGGCCCACCAAGGCGACGAUCCGUAGCUGGUCUGAGAGGAUGAUCAGCCACACUGGAACUGAGACACGGUCCAGACUCCUACGGGAGGCAGCAGUGGGGAAUAUUGGACAAUGGGGGCAACCCUGAUCCAGCCAUGCCGCGUGUGUGAAGAAGGCCU
This 401-nucleotide ribosomal RNA is filed under the name uncultured bacterium. Its description in RNAcentral is "bacterial SSU rRNA". It matches the Rfam family "Bacterial small subunit ribosomal RNA", at positions 28 to 417 of the family's 1533-position model. The record is from RNAcentral.